RNAcentral lists this long non-coding RNA (206 nucleotides) under Monodelphis domestica (gray short-tailed opossum). Its description in RNAcentral is "lncRNA (ENSMODG00000039191.1)". Lineage: Eukaryota; Metazoa; Chordata; Mammalia; Didelphimorphia; Didelphidae. The record is from RNAcentral.
UGCACAAUCUCCUCUAUACCACUUCAGUCUCUGGGAAGAAGAAACUCAAAGUUCUGAGUUAGAAUUGAAGGCUGAAGAAGAAUCUGCUGACUGGACCUGUGAUCCUGUUCCUGUCGUCUCUGUUCUUAACUCUCUUCCUUUGGAUUGACACAUGGUUAACAAAGUUGGGGCAACCUAGUAUGCUGAAUGGUGGUAAUAGCAAUUUC